UACGUAGGGGGCAAGCGUUAUCCGGAUUUACUGGGUGUAAAGGGAGCGUAGACGGUGACGCAAGUCAGAAGUGAAAGCCCGGGGCUCAACUCCGGGACUGCUUUUGAAACCGUGUAACUGGAGUGCAGGAGAGGUAAGCGGAAUUCCUGGUGUAGCGGUGAAAUGCGUAGAUAUCAGGAGGAACACCAGUGGCGAAGGCGGCUUACUGGACUGUAACUGACGUUGAGGCUCGAAAGCGUGGGGAGCAAACAGG
Molecule: ribosomal RNA, 253 nt
Filed under: uncultured bacterium
Lineage: Bacteria
Description: partial 16S ribosomal RNA
Rfam family: Bacterial small subunit ribosomal RNA
Source: RNAcentral